AUGGCUCGCGGUGAUCAUCAAAACGAUAAUGAUGAUUUCAUGGAUCCACCACAGCAGAAUCGGGCAACUGGACGGAGAAAAGAGGGCGAUGAUAAGAAGAAACAUAUCCGCAACAGGGCCUCCCAAGAACGACUGACUACAUUGACUGACAGAUUUACCGACGAUCAGAAGGGAGUUGCUGCUGAGAUGGGUAUGCAGGCUCUAAUGAAUGUCCGGUGCAUGAAUCUUGUCAACCCUGCAUGCGACUGGCUUGGUGAGAUCUACGACCCCGCCUCUAGGGAAUUUGUGAUUCCGGGACGUGGAAGACUACCGUUGAACGAGGAAUCCGUGUUCUGCACUUUGGGUGUGCCUCGUGGACAGAUCAAAGUCCCGUACGAGGCCAUGACAACCCAUGGAGAUGUUUUUAAGAUGAAGCUACUCAUGUACCUCAUCUCAGUUGUUUUUGCGCUGACCACUUCUCUUCGCCCAAGCAACAAAUGCUUCCCCAUCCUGGCGAAACUAAUAGAUGUGAAGAACAUGAAUUGGUGUAAGUUUAUUGCCGACUUCCUGCAUGAUGCAUUCUCAAGCAAGAUGUACCAAAAGGGUUGUCGACUGCAUUUAAUGCUCAUGUACGUCGACUGUCUUGAUCUGUCCACCGUGGAUUUCACUGGGACAGGAGGCCCGCCGCCUACGCACAAGUUUGCUGUUUCUGCGUGGACUAUCGAUGCUGUCAAGGCUGUGCUUGCUGCAGAUAGGGUAACUGAUACCAAAUAUGGAAAACUGCAGCUAAUGGCCAAGCAUGCUAUAGACUACAACGUGUUUGGGGGGGCUCAAAACUUUGGAAAGUGGAUGGACGUGCACUCAGCUCUAUCUUGCCCUACCGAGGCGAGGGCACCUGUUGAGCAUCUAAUUGGGCAGUUUGCAUCCAGAAUGACCGGCUUGCUCGGCAAGUUGGUUGAGGGGUGGACGUCCCUUAGUGGCUCUGACAGCAAUGCGGUUGCAAGUUCCCAAAAGCUUGCUGACACACAAGAUGAACUAGAUGGAGACGCUGGUCUCAACAAGGAUGACGACGAUGACAUGGAGAACGUGCAACAGGACACCGAUGAUGAUGAACAUGCUGAAGUUCGUGCAGGUGGUAACAAGGGCAAGGAUGCACGAGAUGUCCCCCCACCGGAGAAAGUCAAAGAACAUACGGCUACGAGAGGCGAGGGGGUGUUGCCAUCAAAGAGGGGGAGGGCUCCAGAGGAUGUUGGGCAGGGUUCUCCUGGCAAGAGGUCUAGGACCGAUCACGUA
RNAcentral lists this ribosomal RNA (1272 nucleotides) under Triticum aestivum (bread wheat). RNAcentral describes it as "partial small subunit ribosomal RNA". The record is from RNAcentral. Lineage: Eukaryota; Viridiplantae; Streptophyta; Magnoliopsida; Poales; Poaceae.